GACAGAGGGUGCGAGCGUUAAUCGGAAUUACUGGGCGUAAAGCGUGCGUAGACGGUUAUUUAAGUCGGGUGUGAAAGCCCCGGGCUCAACCUGGGAAUUGCAUUCGAGACUGAAUAGCUAGGGUACGGUAGAGGGAAGCGGAAUUUCCGGUGUAGCGGUGAAAUGCGUAGAUAUCGGAAGGAACAUCAGUUGCGAAAGCGGCUUCCUGGACCAGUACCGACGUUCAGGCACGAAAGCGUGGGGAGCAAACAGG
RNAcentral lists this ribosomal RNA (253 nucleotides) under uncultured bacterium. Its description in RNAcentral is "partial 16S ribosomal RNA". It matches the Rfam family "Bacterial small subunit ribosomal RNA", at positions 524 to 776 of the family's 1533-position model. The record is from RNAcentral.